This 253-nucleotide ribosomal RNA is filed under the name uncultured bacterium. Its description in RNAcentral is "partial 16S ribosomal RNA". It matches the Rfam family "Bacterial small subunit ribosomal RNA", at positions 524 to 776 of the family's 1533-position model. The record is from RNAcentral.
GACAGAGGGUGCAAACGUUGUUCGGAAUUACUGGGCGUAAAGCGCACGUAGGCGGAUUUGUAAGUCAGGGGUGAAAUCCCGGGGCUCAACCUCGGAACUGCCUUUGAUACUGCAAAUCUCGAGUCCGGAAGAGGUGAGUGGAAUUCCUAGUGUAGAGGUGAAAUUCGUAGAUAUUAGGAAGAACACCAGUGGCGAAGGCGGCUCACUGGUCCGGUACUGACGCUGAGGUGCGAAAGCGUUGGGAGCAAACAGG